Molecule: long non-coding RNA, 1952 nt
Filed under: Zostera marina
Lineage: Eukaryota; Viridiplantae; Streptophyta; Magnoliopsida; Alismatales; Zosteraceae
Description: long non-coding RNA (ZMAR_LNC005094)
Source: RNAcentral
UAAUAUAAAUUCUUACCAAAAUUAGUUAUAUGGGUGGAUGCCCCAGAAUCGGGGUGCCACAUGAUAACCGGAUUAGUUGCAGCCAUAUUUGCAUAAGGAUUAGCACCGCUCAAAUCCAACCCUAUCGGGAUCAAAUUCCGGUUGUGAUUAGGAGGAAAUCUCUGAAAAUUUACUCUGCUAUAGCAAUUUAGAGCCCCAUACUCUUUCCGGUUGCAUAUUUGACACGGGUGAGCUUUUGCAUUCUCUGAUUUGGUGUGUUUAUAGAGACCACGUUGACUUUGACUAUGUUUGACGUUGAAAAUUGUUUAAAAUUACUAAAUGUCAUUUUGUAAUCGAAGUAGGUUGCAAUCGAGGUAGUAAAUUGUUUGUACUCGCUUCCUAAUCCACCCAAUGCUAUUAGGAUAAUUUGUGAUUCUUUCAUCUUUUCGCCUGCCGAUGCCAAUCUAUCUCUAAUGAUGCAUAUAUUCUUGAUAUAUUGAGCCAUCGUCUGUGUACCUUUAUGAAAGCUUUGUAGUUGCAUCCGAAGAUGAAGUAGACGUGUCUCCGAAUAAGAAGCAUGUAUUUGCCUUAGACAUUCCCAGACCUUAUGCGACGUGGUGAGAGCAGCGAACUGUGGAAAGAUCGUCAGAGAUAUCGACGUCAAGAUCCAACUAAGGAUAAUUUGGUCCUGCUGUUCAGCGGAAGAACCCUCAGGCAAAGUGAUUUUUUCUUCCACGUAUUCUAGAAGCUUGUAUCCUCGGAGAAGAGCUGAGAAUUGAGCUCGCCAACAGAAGUAGUUUUCUCCUUCUAACGUCACAUAUUUCAUUUGUUUUAUGACGAUCACCUUGCUUGAUGAUGUAUUUGAAUCUUUGUCUCCGGUCGUCAUUGCAGUGGAAUUGGGAUCGCUUGCAGACCCUGGCGAAGAUACCAUAUCAAUAUUGGAAGUUUAUCACUGGAAUACAAGAGUAUCACCAAGAAAACAUAUCCUUCAUCGAUUGAUUAAUAUCACUAUUUAUAAUACAAUGAUUUAUACUAACUACUACAAUUGUUUACCCUGACUAACAAAUUAAUUAUCAACUAAUUAACAUAGAGUUAGUUAAUGGUUAUACUCAAGAUAUUAUUCACAAACACAAUUACCAUUUUAACCAAAGUAAUUGUUCAUAUUACUAACUAACUCAAUCCUAAUUAGUAGGAUGAUAAAUUUCAUGGCAGUGAAUCCAUGUGUGGGGAUCCUUUUCGGCGAAUCUCGGAAAGCCAAAACGCAAGUGUGCCUUCAGUGGGUCAAUAUUAUGGUCAUGCUCUUCGUAAUCGUCAAGGUAAUUAUCAUCGAAAUCAUCCCGAUUGCGGAAGCAGCGACGGGUGAUCGAUGAAUACAUCGGACCUUGAUGGCGACCGUGAUGUCUGGUACGACCUCGUUGGAACUCGAUGUCACUAUCUGGUGGUUGGUGGUUGCUGUAUUCGGCCUCCUCGACUGGACUCUUCCCUUUGUCUUUAUUAAGGAGCUCUUGCAAGGCCGCUUGGAUCUUAGCCAUCUCUCCUCUAGAGACUGCAAUCUUCGCAGCUUGAAGUUGUAAGGACUCGUCCACACUUUUUCGAAGAUCCUUGAUCUUGUUUUGCGCAGAGCGAGUACCUCUUCCUACCAUUGUGGAAGGUGAGUUGGAUGAAUUGAAAACACCAGUUGGUACACUUAUACCCGGAGAAAAGAUGAUCGGAGCUUCUCCGAUCUUUCAAUGAUGAAAAUAAUGAUUCGAUGAUAUUUUUAUAUUCUCAAUCACACAAACGUGCAUGGCUUAUAUAGCCUUACAAAUCAAAUCAAUCAACUAGAAUCGAAAAGGAAAUUAUAAAUUAUAGCUACUUACCAAAUCAAUUUGCAUGGGGGUUAAUUGUGAAUAUCCCCUAAUCGAUCAUGAUAAAAUAAUAUUAAAAUAUUAAAUGCAAUAGAUGGGGUGGACGUGCAUGGUGUGCAUGGAGAG